This 421-nucleotide ribosomal RNA is filed under the name uncultured bacterium. RNAcentral's name for it is "bacterial SSU rRNA". It matches the Rfam family "Bacterial small subunit ribosomal RNA", at positions 361 to 773 of the family's 1533-position model. The record is from RNAcentral.
AUUGUUCGCAAUGGGCGCAAGCCUGACGACGCAACGCCGCGUGGAGGAUGAAGAUCUUCGGGUCGUAAACUCCUGUCGAGUGGGAAGAAUAGUGUCCGGGCGAAUAUCCCGGACACCUGACGGUACCACUAAAGGAAGCCCCGGCUAACUCCGUGCCAGCAGCCGCGGUAAUACGGAAGGGGCUAGCGUUGUUCGGAAUCACUGGGCGUAAAGCGCGCGUAGGCGGCCUUGCAAGUGCGGCGUGAAAGUCCUGGGCUCAACCUGGGGACGGCGCUGCGGACUGCAUGGCUGGAGUCCGGAAGAGGGUGGUGGAAUUCCGAGUGUAGAGGUGAAAUUCGUAGAUAUUCGGAGGAACACCGGUGGCGAAGGCGGCCACCUGGUCCGGUACUGACGCUGAAGCGCGAAAGCGUGGGGAGCAAAC